UAAAUUUGAUGAUGUUGCGGCUAUAUUGCCCGGUAAAGAAAUUGGUCGUAUUAAGGUAUGAUGCUUCGUCUGUGGAAAGUACCUGCUUUCCUUAUUCCAAUUGAGUCCAACUCGCUUGAGAUGGUUUUGGGUGAUGAGAAGGGUGGAAAAUAGCUUAUUUAUAUGUUUGAUUGGAAGCUUGAAGAGGGCCAGGUAUAUGAGAUGUCGUGUUUCUCUGUUCUUCCCGAGAGUGAUUUAUACCGUACCACCCUUCAUCCAUAUAAACUUGUGUUUCAAAGUAAGGCAAAGGUCAUGCCGUCUAAAAGUUGUUCUAUAUCCCAGUUUGGGUUAAGUUUAACUUAUAUUGCCGAAAUUUGUUCUCACACUUAUUAUGAUUAUGAGUUUUUGGUUGGUAAGUAGUUGUGUAUGCGGUGGAUAUUGUAUAUUGUAUUCGAGUUUUGCAAAAUGUAAUUCAUCAAUUGAUUGAUAGAUGUGAUUUAAAGAUUUUGAUUUUUGUUGUUGUCGUUGAAUUCAAAUGAUUUUAUAUUGAAUUUGAAUACUGAAUGAGUAAAUGAAGUUAGGGUGUUGAGGCUUCAAAAGAGACACGAAUACUGCUUGCUUGGUUACUUGUCCUCGGAGGUUGGAUGGAACUACUAUGACACCAUUAAGGUGGGUUUUUAUUGUUUUGUUUGAAGUUUUUUGCUUUGUAUUUGAUAUAAAUUUAGGUAAUAAACUGAAUUAUAGAUGUUAUUAGUAUUAUGACUGCGAUUCCUGCUGAACUGAGAGUAUGUUCGUGAUGGCAAGGUAACUAAAAUGGUCAUUGUUAAGCUAACUGAUGAUAGGUAUAUGUAAUGUUUAUUUGUGACUGAAUCAUUACUGAUUUUAUUUUCAGUCUUUGAGAUAUUAGUGUCUUCAUUUUCAUCACUAUUUCUGUUGUAAACUGAAUGAACUAAAAAAUAAUUCCAAACAUGGCACAACAAGUGAGGAACAAGCAAGUGAUUCUGAGGGACUAUGUGUCUGGUUUUCCUAAAGAAUCAGACAUGAUCAUUAUUGACAGUACCAUAACUCUAAAGCUUCCAGAAAGUUCCAAUGAUGUUCUGCUAAAAAAUCUCUACUUGGCUUGUGAUCCAUACAUGAGGAAUCUCAUGAACAAACCACAAGGAAUUCCUAAUCCUCUUUCAUAUACCCCUCAAUCUGUAAGUUAAUAAUUUUGUGAAUACCCUUUUGAGUAUAUGUCAAAUUUGAUCCUUAAAGUAGCUUCUUUUAUAUGUAAAUUUUGUCUUUGAAUGGAUCAAUUUGUUAGUUAAGUUUACAACUUUGAUGUGAUAAAUUUCUUAGCAAAUUAAAAAAAUUGGAUUUUUGUUUUUGUUUUAACCCUCUGGUUGGUCUAACAAAGGGUCAUGAUAAUUCAGAGUUCGGCCCAGGUAAGUAAAGUCUGGUCAAUGACUAUUUCAUUAGAAUUUUAACUCUGUUUUCUCGAACGAUUCUUCCUUAAUUGGAGUAGUGGAGUUCAAUUGCUUGAUAUUAGCAAGUGGUCAUGUAAUUUGUAAGAUUGGAGUUUAAGUUUUAUUCUUAAAUCAAGAUUGAAACUAAUCAAAGAAUAAUGUAGAACAUUGAAACAAGUUUUUGUUUAUGUAGCUUCUGUUGAUUUUUGAGUAAAUGCAGGUAAUAGCAGGUUUUAGGGUGUCUAAAGUCCUUGAAUCAGGACACCCUGAUUAUAAAGAAGGUGAUUUCAGGUUUCUGCCAUUUUGUUGCACCUUUUGACAUAUGUUAUGUUUUUCUUUGAUAGCAGGUAAACGUUUUAAACAAGUGAAGAUUGAGAAGGAGUGAUUUCUGUAUUUGUUUUCUAAUAAUGGUGUGAUGCAUAUUGUGAUGUGAAUUUAGUUAGUUGUUGUGUGAAAUCUCCAUGUUGUAAUCGUUGUAUUUAAGUUCUAAGUGAUGGGGAUUUAAAUAAAAUUUUUGUUGUUAUCUACUGGAAGUGUUCUAAGUGUGUUGUGUUAUGUAUCAUCGUCUGUUGAGUGUCCUAAGUCUGUUGUUAUCGUCUGUAGGAAAAUAUUGAAGUUGUGCAAGUUACCACAAUUAGCCCCAAUGCACACGACUAACUGAAAAAAGGAAAAAUACACAAGACACUUAGAACACAGUUAUCAGUUUUCCUGGCAGCUGUUAUUAUAUCGAAUCCCGACCAAGAAUAAGUUAUGUAGGCGGAGGAUUAUGCAGCAACAGUUAUCAGUUUGUGUUUUGUGUGAGCUGACCGCGGAAACGGGGCCUCAUUUGUUCCUUCACUGUAACUGUACUUCGAAGGUGUGGCAUCAAAGUAAUGCAGUGGUUAGGGAUGGUAAUAAUUCUUCUACAAAAUCUGUUUAUGUCUUUUGGGUUGUUAAUCGACAGUGGUUUAUAGAUGGUACUGCAAAAGAUCCUUGCUUACUUUAUGAAUGGAGAUGGAGUCCUUUUGAUUGCUUCUAUCGGUGAGGAGGUGUAGAUCUGGUGUGUGCUCUGUGUGGUGGGAGUUGUUAGGGGUGUUGCUGUGCUGGGUUGUCGCUUUUGGUCCUCUGCGUGAAGUUGUUUUGUGUUGGUUUUUGUGUGUCUCUAGGUUUUGUUCCUGGUUUGAGUGGAUGUAGGAGUUUGUUUAGUUUGUUAUUUUUUUCUAGCCUUUCCUUUGUAUCUUUUUCUCAGCAAACAUCUCUUAUGUUUGGUUGACUUUAUCAAUAAAUUUUGGCUGUUAAAAAAAAUAAUAUAAUGUUUGAGGCCUUGAGGACCUAAUUAUUUAUUUUAAAGGGUUGUUUUGAGAUAUUA
Long non-coding RNA from Trifolium pratense (red clover), 2772 nucleotides. RefSeq lists it as uncharacterized. The record is from RefSeq and is a predicted model, not a curated record. NCBI's taxonomy places the organism in Eukaryota, Viridiplantae, Streptophyta, Magnoliopsida, Fabales, Fabaceae. The transcript has 2 exons.